AGUGAAGAAUGGCGUUUUUGUGGCGUGCUCCCACAGUUACUUUGCAGCAGAAGGACCAACCUAGUUGGAAAGAGUCACUAAUGCGAGUGUCUCUAUUAUUAGCCUGGUCCCUGAAGACUCCAGAGUGUGAGCGGCAUCACUCAGAGGGGAGAGGAAACGCCCGCCGGCCGUCAGAGGCGGGAACUGUUGCCCGGCAUACACCGGUCCGAUCGCGCCGCCGUCGGGCGUGGCCGCGCUGUAUGCUGGGAGGCGUAGUCUCUUCGGGACGGACCCUCGGACGCGAGGAGUUUGCCAAAGCUGUGUUCUGGAUGAGACCGGACAAGGAACCUUCCACUAAGUGAAUAUCAAGAAAGGAACAAACUUCACCAGUUCCAAAGGGGUUGUGUGAGACUCUGGACCACCCAAGAUUCCCAGAGAAAGCAGCUGAGGAAGACUGCUGUAACCCUACUCUGAGGCUUCUUCCAACCCAGUCUCUGACUGCAGCCCUUUCUGGUCUUCAACCCAAGGAGAGCUGGAAUGGACUUCAAGAGUCAUCUGGUCCAGGGAUUUUUUUCAAACUCUUCAGCGCCCCCUUAGGGCCACCAUGUAUGUAAUCAAAGAGAGUAAGCAGGGUCAACUGUCCUUGGGUGCUGGAUCCACAGAAGUCCUCUGUCCAGAAUCUUGGGCUCAGUCCACACGUGUUCGCAGGGAAAGGUGAGGGUCCUGGAGUGUGCUCCCUGCCCCCCCCCCCGCGUCCUUUCUGCUGACCACAGCCAAGGUGAGAGCCCAGGCACCCCCUCCCCAGCACAUCCCUGAGACUUUACGUCUGUUCGAGCUCAAAGGAACAAAAGAACGAUGUGGCGGGACCGCAGCUGGCUCUUCAGGACACAGUCAUUUUGUAGCCGUGGCUGACCUGGAGGCCACCGAAUCCAGCAUCGGCUUCAGUUUCACAUUGACCUUCACCAACGCCUAAAAUAAAACAAAAGCAGGUGGAGGAGAGGAACCGGAGUCACUGCUGUGAUUUUCUAGCUUUUACGUGUGAGGAGAAUGGAAACUGCUGUAAGAAAUGGAAGUGAUGAUUUUGGUAAACGUGAGCUAUUUGCAAGAAAUAACUAUGCGCUUAACGCCACUGUGUUGCAUUAAUAAAGCUCAUGCAGAAAAUGAAAAAA
Molecule: non-coding RNA, 1148 nt
Organism: Vicugna pacos (alpaca)
Lineage: Eukaryota; Metazoa; Chordata; Mammalia; Artiodactyla; Camelidae
Source: RefSeq, a predicted model, not a curated record